AUUGAACGCUGGCGGCAGGCCUAACACAUGCAAGUCGAACGGUAACAGGAAGAAGCUUGCUUCUUUGCUGACGAGUGGCGGACGGGUGAGUAAUGUCUGGGAAACUGCCUGAUGGAGGGGGAUAACUACUGGAAACGGUAGCUAAUACCGCAUAACGUCGCAAGACCAAAGAGGGGGACCUUCGGGCCUCUUGCCAUCGGAUGUGCCCAGAUGGGAUUAGCUAGUAGGUGGGGUAACGGCUCACCUAGGCGACGAUCCCUAGCUGGUCUGAGAGGAUGACCAGCCACACUGGAACUGAAACACGGUCCAGACUCCUACGGGAGGCAGCAGUGGGGAAUAUUGCACAAUGGGCGCAAGCCUGAUGCAGCCAUGCCGCGUGUAUGAAGAAGGCCUUCGGGUUGUAAAGUACUUUCAGCGGGGAGGAAGGGAGUAAGGUUAAUACCUUGGCUCAUUGACGUUACCCGCAGAAGAAGCACCGGCUAACUCCGUG
RNAcentral lists this ribosomal RNA (490 nucleotides) under uncultured bacterium. RNAcentral's name for it is "partial 16S ribosomal RNA". It matches the Rfam family "Bacterial small subunit ribosomal RNA", at positions 30 to 507 of the family's 1533-position model. The record is from RNAcentral.